ACACGACUACAUUAGAUACCCGUGUAGUCCUAGCCGUAAACGAUACUCGCUAGGUGUCGGCCACGGUGCGACCGUUGUCGGUGCCGUAGGGGAAGCCGUGAAGCGAGCCACCUGGGAAGUACGGCCGCAAGGCUGAAACUUAAAGGAAUUGGCGGGGGAGCACCACAACGGGUGGAGCUUGCGGUUUAAUUGGAUUCAACGCCGGAAAUCUUACCGGGACCGACAGCAACAUGAAGGCCAGGCUGAAGACUUUGCCGGAUUAGCUG
Molecule: ribosomal RNA, 266 nt
Filed under: uncultured archaeon
Lineage: Archaea
Description: partial 16S ribosomal RNA
Rfam family: Archaeal small subunit ribosomal RNA
Source: RNAcentral